UGUCGAACGGGGGUUAUUCUUUAUAGCUUGCUACGAAGGUAAUUAGUGGCAGACGGGUGAGUAAUGCAUAGGAAUCUACCUAGUAGUAUGGGAUAGCCACUAGAAAUGGUGGGUAAUACUGUAUAAUCCCUGCGGGGGAAAGAUUUAUCGCUAUUAGAUGAGCCUAUGUUAGAUUAGCUAGUUGGUAGGGUAAUGGCCUACCAAGGCGGUGAUCUAUAGCUGGUCUGAGAGGAUGAUCAGCCACACUGGAACUGAGAUACGGUCCAGACUCCUACGGGAGGCAGCAGUGGGGAAUAUUGGACAAUGGGCGCAAGCCUGAUCCAGCUAUGCCGCGUGAGUGAGGAAGGCCUUAGGGUUGUAAAACUCUUUCAGUAGGGAAGAUAAUGAGGGGUACCUAUAA
Molecule: ribosomal RNA, 400 nt
Filed under: uncultured Anaplasma sp.
Lineage: Bacteria; Pseudomonadati; Pseudomonadota; Alphaproteobacteria; Rickettsiales; Anaplasmataceae
Description: bacterial SSU rRNA
Rfam family: Bacterial small subunit ribosomal RNA
Source: RNAcentral